Small nuclear RNA from Grammomys surdaster, 64 nucleotides. RefSeq annotates it as U7 small nuclear RNA. Lineage: Eukaryota; Metazoa; Chordata; Mammalia; Rodentia; Muridae. The record is from RefSeq and is a predicted model, not a curated record. The transcript has a single exon.
GAGUGAACACAGCUCUUCUAGAAUUUUUCUAGCAGGGUUUCUGGCUUUGAUUGGAAAAUCUAAG